Mytilus trossulus (common blue mussel) is the source of this 635-nucleotide long non-coding RNA. RefSeq lists it as uncharacterized. The record is from RefSeq and is a predicted model, not a curated record. The transcript has 5 exons. Lineage: Eukaryota; Metazoa; Mollusca; Bivalvia; Mytilida; Mytilidae.
AUUAUGUUAAAAAAAUCAAUUUAAAUUACAAAAUAUCGGUGUUCGAAAUUUUUUAUUUAGUUUUUUCUACUUUACGAAAUGGAUUUUUUCUAAACCGUGAAACACACAAAGAAAUAAACAAAACUCUAGUAGUACAUCAAUACAUUAAUUAUUCAUUUUUUAUUUUAAUACAUCUCAACUGAGUUUGAUGAAGCACCGUCAGUACCUGAUUGACGUCAGGGUUUGGUGUAAGGAUCAUAUAUUAAGCAACAUAACCUGGCCAUAUAUCAUGGAAGUAAACUCAACACAGGAUGGUGAUAUGUUCAGUAUUGUCAGCUAAUUACCAUAUACAAAUGAUGCAGUAUGAGUACAAAUGACAUUAGGUUAACAAGUUACAGCUUACUAGAUUUGUUGAACUCUGCAUGGAACGAUACGUAUGCGAGAGAUAUGUACACUUUUUGAAUAAGUGAUAUAGAUUAAACUAGAGUGGUGGACUACAGUUCAAAUGUCAAUUAUAAAACGGAAAUAUCAAUUCAAAUCGAAAGGUCCACAUGAGUCGUAACAAAAUUGCAAAAGAUAGUGUCAAAUCCAACAAGUUAAUAAUGUAAACGAGAGAUGACAGUUUAACACGUUGAUAUUGACUAAACAUAUAUACA